AGAGUUUGAUCAUGGCUCAGGACGAACGCUGGCGGCNNNNUUAAUACAUGCAAGUCGAGCGAGAACCAGGGCUUCGGCCCUGGGGACAGCGGCGAACGGGUGAGUAACACGUGGGUAAUCAACCCUCGACACUGGGAUAGCCCGGGGAAACCCGGAUUAAUACCGGAUACCCCAUCUGGCCUUCGGGCCGGCUGGAAAAGGUAGCUUCGGCCUCCGGUCGGGGACGAGCCCGCGGCGGAUUAGCUUGUUGGCGGGGUAAUGGCCCACCAAGGCGACGAUCCGUAGCUGGUCUGAGAGGACGAUCAGCCACACUGGGACUGAGACACGGCCCAGACUCCUACGGGAGGCAGCAGUAGGGAAUCUUGCGCAAUGGGCGAAAGCCUGACGCAGCGACGCCGCGUGAGGGAAGAAGGCCUUCGGGUUGUAAACCUCUUUCAGGAGGGACGAAGCCACUCGGGUUAAUAGCCCAGAGGGUGACGGUACCUCCAGAAGAAGCCCCGGCUAACUACGUGCCAGCAGCCGCGGUAAUACGUAGGGGGCAAGCGUUGUCCGGAUUUAUUGGGCGUAAAGAGCGUGUAGGCGGCCAAACAGGUCCACUGUGAAAACUCGAGGCUCAACCUCGAGAGGUCGGUGGAAACCGUCUGGCUAGAGUCCGGAAGAGGAGAGUGGAAUUCCCGGUGUAGCGGUGAAAUGCGCAGAUAUCGGGAAGAACACCCGUGGCGAAGGCGGCUCUCUGGGACGGUACUGACGCUGANNNNCGAAAGCGUGGGGAGCGAACAGGAUUAGAUACCCUAGUAGUCC
This 801-nucleotide ribosomal RNA is filed under the name uncultured bacterium. RNAcentral's name for it is "bacterial SSU rRNA". It matches the Rfam family "Bacterial small subunit ribosomal RNA", at positions 8 to 796 of the family's 1533-position model. The record is from RNAcentral.